AAGUUCUUACCAAGCGAAACAGGAGGUGGGAGAACAAACAAGUCAGAAAACCUAGAAAAUGGUGUAUCAACGCUGCAGCAACAACACUUGUCAAGUUGUAGUCUGAUAUGUGGAGUUAUAGGAUGGCUCUAUAUAUUGCACAAGAAAGUACUAGCACCACAUUAGUCACAAAAGCAUGUUGAGAAAUCAUUCAACGGUGGCACUGUGCUGGUCCUAGGCUAGACCAUGCUAGAGACGCGUGCCUGUACAGAGAUGAAGUCACAAUAUCGCAAGAAUAAUAAGAACAACAAGAGAUAACUUCCCUUCUUUUCCUCUUCCUUUCUUUUCUUUCCUUUUUUUUCCUUUUUCUUUUCUUUUUUUCUGAUAUUUUUUUGUUUCUUUCUGUUUUUUUCCUACUUUGCUCAACUAAAAUAAAUCUGAAUCUUGAUGGAUUAGAUUUCAGAAAACACACAAUGUCUUUAGUGUAACAAAAAUACAACUAGCAGAUUAUGAUGGUGAUAUGAUGCUGCAGUAACACUGAUUGCAACGGGGAUGAGAAAAAUAGAAUGUGAAAGAAGAGUGGAGGAGAGGGAAAAGGAUGCGCAUGAAGUGGACAAGGAUGCAAUGUUCUAAAAUUAGAUGCCCAAGAGUGGAAUAAAUCUAGUGGUUGCAAUAGGAUGCUGAUUAAAAAUAGGAUGCUGAUUAUAGAAUGUGCAAGAGCGCUUACAAUAGGAUGUAUGAAUGGAAGAAAGGAACAUGCAGGUGGCAGUGAGUAAGAAUAGGUUGCUCACGGGUGGAAGUGAAAACGUGCAUGCAAUGGCCUAAAAAUAUAGGGUGCGUAUGAGUGAAAAGAGAGUGGUGGAUGGAGUUUACACGGUGCCCAAGUAGGGUGGUGAUGGUAGUUCAGAUAUAUAGUGUAGUCCUAAUGUAUAUGGUAAUAGUGAUUGCAGCGGAGAUUAUACGAUGGGCAAUGACUAAAACGUGACAAAAACUCAAAACUCUAAAAGUCUAAACCUAAGACCAGCAACUCGACUCAACCGAUGUAAAUCAAACACAACAAGCCUGAACUAAGUAGUACUAGUAAAAGGCUCAAAGGGUCUAUAGGAUGAUAAAAAUGAAAGUACUUUCUUGGCUUUUUCUAGGCAAUAGGAAAAAAAUUGCAAACUAAAUUCUCUCACCGAUGAAACCUUGAGCUGAUACCACUUGAUAAGAGUGUGGGUGUCCCGAUCUUUCGGUGGAGAUGGAUAACUUCGAUCUCUCUGGAGCGACGUUCACGAUCCGACUACAACCGUCCAAGGACGCUGCGCCUUAGCGAUCGAUACACCAAUUCUAGCGGUUGAUCUCGAUCUUGUUGAUCACAACCAACCAAACCACUAGAGUAAUUCCUGCACGCAAUCGAAGAACAUGCAAGAACAGAUAGAACAGGCACUCAAUUGCCAAAUAAUACAAGAAGGAUCUGAUAUGAAUCACGAUAUUAAUAUGGGGUUUUCAAUCAAGUAGAACGGAUGGUCCAGUCGACACAUGCGUCUACAAGGAAGUAGCAAUGGCUAAACUUACAACAAAACACAACCCGAUUUGUGUCUCUGGCUGUAGAAGCCUUUAUGUACAAGAGAGAGCAACCAGAGUGUGCGGUGC
RNAcentral lists this long non-coding RNA (1614 nucleotides) under Sorghum bicolor (sorghum). RNAcentral describes it as "long non-coding RNA (SBIC_LNC018672)". Lineage: Eukaryota; Viridiplantae; Streptophyta; Magnoliopsida; Poales; Poaceae. The record is from RNAcentral.